RNA transcript from Ziziphus jujuba (common jujube), 850 nucleotides. RefSeq lists it as uncharacterized. The transcript has 3 exons. NCBI's taxonomy places the organism in Eukaryota, Viridiplantae, Streptophyta, Magnoliopsida, Rosales, Rhamnaceae. The record is from RefSeq and is a predicted model, not a curated record.
AUUCUUAAAGUACCCUUGAUAUCAAAUUUUACUUUUUUCCUUUCUUUCACUUCCUUCCUUCGAAGUGCUUUUCUUCUGUUCUCCUUCCUCACCCUUCCCCAUAAAACCCCAGAGCCGGCUCCUCUCUUCUUCUUCCUAGAGCCGGCUUUUCUCUUCUCCUUCCUCACACUUCCCCCAAAAAACCCAGAGCCGGCUCCUCUCUUCUCCUUCCAAGUAGUCUCGAUGCUUUAUUUGGGUGUUUAUGUAUGAGUCAUGAUCUCUGUAAAUUUUUUUUUUUGUAUCUCACUUGCCUUAGAAGUAAUGUCCGACCAAAUAAGAAAUUCUUAGGAAACCACGAAACUGUAAGAAUUACUUGUUAUGCUACAUAUUGGUGGCAGUAUAAUAUGUACUUCAUGUAUUAUAUACCAGGUAGAUUGGGAACAAGCAAGCAUGAUCGAGGCAGAGCGUUUAUUGCUUACGCAUGCACUUGAGGAUACUUAUAAUCAACGCUUUGUUUUUCUUUCUGACAGGGCCUGAUUAUUCCUCUCACUAUUACCUGUUUUAUAUGUGACGAUCCUGCAGAGAAGGUCACUGCUUGAGUUUUGGCGGGAUCGACCCCUUUCAGCUAAUGCAUCCAAGGAGCAUAAUUGUAUACCAGAUGAACAUUUCGUUCAAACAUUACCGACAGUAUAUUAUAGCACCAUCUAACAGUUAUCGGCCUUUUAUGUGCUGAUAGAAAAUUGAACUUGGUUUUUGUAGAAGUAUGUGAAAGAAUGAACUAUUCCAUUAUGGAAGUUGAUAAAAUUAUUUCUUUUAUCCUUUGAAUUUGAAAAAUCAAGUUUCUUAUCAUAUGAUAAAUUAGUUUUUCUCA